CGCUGCCAGCUCUGGCGCGGCGAGGCCGGCUCACCAGUUGGUCAUGUCCAGGAAGAAGGCGCAGCCGGCCGGGUUGAGCUGGAAGCCGAGCAGCCUCUGGAACUCGGAGAUGAGCACGUCCUUGUCGGUGGUGCCCAGGCAGCUGAACUUCUGCAUCAGCUCCGGGUCCAGGUCCACGUCCAUUCCCUCCAUGGCGGGGGCCGAACACCCACUUCCCCGCCUCCUCACAACUGAGCCGCCGCCGCGUCGCCGGGCCCGGGGACCUGGAGGGGGCCCGCUGCUAGCCGGCGCCGCGACCCCGCUCCUUUGAGGUGAGGAAACAAGUCCAGGGAGGGCGGAGACCAUGGCAAGGUCAAGUUGUAAAGUGCACGCAGGACCUAGCUCUCAGCCAGAGAGGGGUCUGCGCCUCAUGCAGGAAAGACUUGUUUGCAGAUCCGCUUUCUCAGAGGGAUGCUGCAGUCCUUGGUUCUCGGCCACCCUUCGUGAUGAUUACUACAGUUUAUCGAUGCUGUUUCUGUUAUGCAACGGUAGUAUCGUGUCUUCGGAGAAUAAAGGAGGCCUUGAUACAAACAUCAAUCAUAGGUCCUGAUGAACACCACAUGUACUCUUCCACCCUUUCCGUCAGGUCCAACUCUGUCAAAAUAAAGGUUAGUUGUGAGAA
Long non-coding RNA from Cynocephalus volans (Philippine flying lemur), 661 nucleotides. RefSeq lists it as uncharacterized. NCBI's taxonomy places the organism in Eukaryota, Metazoa, Chordata, Mammalia, Dermoptera, Cynocephalidae. The record is from RefSeq and is a predicted model, not a curated record. The transcript has 2 exons.